Molecule: long non-coding RNA, 1262 nt
Organism: Molossus molossus (Pallas's mastiff bat)
Lineage: Eukaryota; Metazoa; Chordata; Mammalia; Chiroptera; Molossidae
Exons: 3
Source: RefSeq, a predicted model, not a curated record
CAGUCCUGUCAAUCCAUUCCUUUUUAGUUGAUAUCCAGAAAUCUGAAUUCUCUAGGCACUAGAGUCCUUGAGCUUCUUGAGUUCGGAGUUCAGAGUUCACUUCACCGAGUGAGGCCUCCCAUCUGGUAUUCGAAUCCACAGAGUCAGAGUUCUUUCAUUCUCGCCCUCAACUGAAAGGCAGAGAAGACAGCGAGAACACCCGUGUUACUUUAGGAGACCUGGAAAGUUGAUACAAUUUCUUAUUGUUCAAGAUGGGGUGAUGAUGUAAUGGAAAGGACAAAUGAGAUCAAGGUUUGUUUUCUUUUUUCCACCCCCAAGCUGUGUAAUGUUGAGCAAGUCACUUCCUCUCUCUGGGCUUCCUCCUGUGAGAAAGAAGGAAACUGAAACAAGUGCUUGUUGAAAGGCCUUCCAUCUCUAGCCAGGAUCCAAAAGGUAGAUGGCAUCACAGCAGCCUGCCGGUUCCGAGGCUGCAGCAGGCUGGCCUGUUGUCGUGGGUCCAUUUAGUUCUGACAGCAUCAUAUUUGCAGGACCGAUUCCGUCCAAAUAUGGUCAAUGAUGUAAUAGGGAGCAAUCGCCUUCAGACACUGGACAAGUCACUCAAGUAGCAACAGAUGGUCCAAGAAUAAUUGGAAAAGACACACUUUAUUGUGUUAUGAAGAUUUUGUAUAUAGAUUUUAACUGCAUGUGGAUAAAAGUUGAAAUAAAAAGAAUAUAUGCAAAGAAAGUCCACCUCAUGUCAGAUUUCUGGAUCCCACGUGGGCACCAUGGGACUGGACUUCACUGCAGCGUGGAAGGGUGUGUGGCUGGGUGGAGCCAGCUCAGCGGGCACUCGGCCAUGCGUAUCACAACACCCAACUCAGGACAUCUGCCUUGAAAUAAUCAGCAGUGACUGGUAGCCUUGCUAACUUGCAGUGAGGAAUCUUUCUUCCUUUGGAGAGAAGCGUGCCUCUGCCAUUGGGGAAGAAUCCUCAGCCCCAGCCCAGAGGAGGUGGAUUGGAACUGGACAGAUGGAACAACUGAGACCCAGAGGGUUUACAGACUUCCCGAAAGUUCUGCAGCUGCCGAGUGCAAAGUUAGGGAGAGCAGUGACAUGGAGGCAGCACUGAGACCCAAGUCUUAUUCCUUCUGGAGCAGAGAGAGCUCCCCACGACCCCACACUGCCAGGGAUGCAAACGGUUCAUCUUAAGGAAAUUUAUCCUGCAAGUAGCAAGUAUGGCCCAUGAAAUUUGUGACCUGGACAAUCAGCCAUUACAAGAGUGGAG